RNAcentral lists this ribosomal RNA (468 nucleotides) under uncultured bacterium. Its description in RNAcentral is "partial 16S ribosomal RNA". It matches the Rfam family "Bacterial small subunit ribosomal RNA", at positions 28 to 507 of the family's 1533-position model. The record is from RNAcentral.
GACGAACGCUGGCGGCGUGCUUAACACAUGCAAGUCGAACGGAAAGGCCCUGCUUUUGUGGGGUGCUCGAGUGGCGAACGGGUGAGUAACACGUGAGUAACCUGCCCUUGACUUUGGGAUAACUUCAGGAAACUGGGGCUAAUACCGGAUAGGAGCUCCUGCUGCAUGGUGGGGGUUGGAAAGUUUCGGCGGUUGGGGGUGGACUCGCGGCUUAUCAGCUUGUUGGUGGGGUAGUGGCUUACCAAGGCUUUGACGGGUAGCCGGCCUGAGAGGGUGACCGGCCACAUUGGGACUGAGAUACGGCCCAGACUCCUACGGGAGGCAGCAGUGGGGAAUAUUGCACAAUGGGCGGAAGCCUGAUGCAGCAACGCCGCGUGCGGGAUGGCGGCCUUCGGGUUGUAAACCGCUUUCGCCUGUGACGAAGCGUGAGUGACGGUAAUGGGUAAAGAAGCACCGGCUAACUACGUG